AGUCGGUCAGACGGUUGCGGACAGAAAUGUCUGAGGAAAGUCCGAGCCCCGCAGGGCAGAAUAGCGGCUAACGGCCGCCGAGGGUGACCUUAGGGAAAGUGCAACAGAGAUAUACCGCCGCAAAAGGCUUAGAAUUUUUCUUUGAUGAUGCGAAACACAUCGCCCGUUUGCGGUAAGGGUGGAAAGGCGAGGUAAGAGCUCACCGAUUCCGCGGGAACGCCGGAAUCCUGUAAACCCUAUUCGGAGCAACGCUGACUGUAACCAUACGCCUGCCCGGCGUGUUACGAAAAGCGGCUUGAGCGCAGGGAGCAAUCCCGCGUCGAGAUAGAUAACCGUCCUCGACAGAACUCGGCUUAUCGACCGACUCAA
This 369-nucleotide RNase P RNA is filed under the name human gut metagenome. Its description in RNAcentral is "Bacterial RNase P class A". It matches the Rfam family "Bacterial RNase P class A". Rfam says of the family: Ribonuclease P (RNase P) is a ubiquitous endoribonuclease, found in archaea, bacteria and eukarya as well as chloroplasts and mitochondria. Its best characterised activity is the generation of mature 5'-ends of tRNAs by cleaving the 5'-leader elements of precursor-tRNAs. Cellular RNase Ps are ribonucleoproteins. The record is from RNAcentral.